Molecule: long non-coding RNA, 270 nt
Filed under: Elaeis guineensis (African oil palm)
Lineage: Eukaryota; Viridiplantae; Streptophyta; Magnoliopsida; Arecales; Arecaceae
Description: long non-coding RNA (EGUI_LNC035781)
Source: RNAcentral
AGAAUCUCCUAACGACCUAUCAGAUUCCGAUGAAAUAGCCUAUGGCUCAUCUAUAUAUAAAGAGGUAACAAAGGGAUCCUCAAAGAGGCCAGACUCUAAAAAAUAGUCCACAUUUUUGCUCUUUCAUUAUCUCUUUUCUCCAUUGUCCUUAUAAAGCUCCGACUGAUUUAAGCAGCGAAGAAUCUCUUAUUAAAAAAUCUUCGAUCAGAAUGCACUGAUCUUGCAGGUUUUUUCUGAGCACUCCAAUCUUUAGGCCGAAGCCAAACCCCC